AUAAUAUGCAUGAAAUUGAAUAUAAAUAUUUAAAUUAUGACCCAGUACUUAGUAAUAAAUUUUCUUAAAUCUAUUUUUGACCCGUUAUAAUAUUUUUUCAUGUAUUGAACAGUUUAUAUUCGUUUUUAAAAGUUUAAAUUAUGGCAUAUGCGAAAAAACUCUAAUUAUUUUUUUAUAACGAUGAUAUUAUUUUUUCGCAAAAAUAGAAUCAUAUAAAGAUGAGAGGUGAACUAUAAUAAUUAAUAAAAAAUUAAUAUGAUAAUUUAGAUAUCAAAUCUUAUUUGUUGAUUUUAAUUGGUUA
Molecule: small RNA, 301 nt
Filed under: Arabidopsis thaliana (thale cress)
Lineage: Eukaryota; Viridiplantae; Streptophyta; Magnoliopsida; Brassicales; Brassicaceae
Description: ATSL128330
Source: RNAcentral